This 142-nucleotide unclassified non-coding RNA is filed under the name uncultured fungus. RNAcentral's name for it is "sequence contains ITS1, 5.8S rRNA gene". Lineage: Eukaryota; Fungi. The record is from RNAcentral.
CCAGAGAUGGUGGGCUUCGGCCCCCGUCCCCAACCCUUUGCUGAUCAAAACCCUUUUGCCUCGGGGGCAGAGCGUCCGCCGCCGCCCCCGGAGGACCACCGAACACUGUCUCUGUACGUCGGAGUAUUGAUUAAAUGAAUGA